AAAUUGAAGAGUUUGAUCAUGGCUCAGAUUGAACGCUGGCGGCAGGCCUAACACAUGCAAGUCGAGCGGUAGCACAGAGAGCUUGCUCUCGGGUGACGAGCGGCGGACGGGUGAGUAAUGUCUGGGAAACUGCCUGAUGGAGGGGGAUAACUACUGGAAACGGUAGCUAAUACCGCAUAAUGUCGCAAGACCAAAGUGGGGGACCUUCGGGCCUCAUGCCAUCAGAUGUGCCCAGAUGGGAUUAGCUAGUAGGUGGGGUAACGGCUCACCUAGGCGACGAUCCCUAGCUGGUCUGAGAGGAUGACCAGCCACACUGGAACUGAGACACGGUCCAGACUCCUACGGGAGGCAGCAGUGGGGAAUAUUGCACAAUGGGCGCAAGCCUGAUGCAGCCAUGCCGCGUGUGUGAAGAAGGCCUUCGGGUUGUAAAGCACUUUCAGCGGGGAGGAAGGCGGUAAGGUUAAUAACCUUGUCGAUUGACGUUACCCGCAGAAGAAGCACCGGCUAACUCCGUGCCAGCAGCCGCGGUAAUACGGAGGGUGCAAGCGUUAAUCGGAAUUACUGGGCGUAAAGCGCACGCAGGCGGUCUGUCAAGUCGGAUGUGAAAUCCCCGGGCUUAACCUGGGAACUGCAUUCGAAACUGGCAGGCUAGAGUCUUGUAGAGGGGGGUAGAAUUCCAGGUGUAGCGGUGAAAUGCGUAGAGAUCUGGAGGAAUACCGGUGGCGAAGGCGGCCCCCUGGACAAAGACUGACGCUCAGGUGCGAAAGCGUGGGGAGCAAACAGGAUUAGAUACCCUGGUAGUCCACGCCGUAAACGAUGUCGAUUUGGAGGUUGUGCCCUUGAGGCGUGGCUUCCGGAGCUAACGCGUUAAAUCGACCGCCUGGGGAGUACGGCCGCAAGGUUAAAACUCAAAUGAAUUGACGGGGGCCCGCACAAGCGGUGGAGCAUGUGGUUUAAUUCGAUGCAACGCGAAGAACCUUACCUGGUCUUGACAUCCACAGAACUUUCCAGAGAUGGAUUGGUGCCUUCGGGAACUGUGAGACAGGUGCUGCAUGGCUGUCGUCAGCUCGUGUUGUGAAAUGUUGGGUUAAGUCCCGCAACGAGCGCAACCCUUAUCCUUUGUUGCCAGCGGUCCGGCCGGGAACUCAAAGGAGACUGCCAGUGAUAAACUGGAGGAAGGUGGGGAUGACGUCAAGUCAUCAUGGCCCUUACGACCAGGGCUACACACGUGCUACAAUGGCAUAUACAAAGAGAAGCGACCUCGCGAGAGCAAGCGGACCUCAUAAAGUAUGUCGUAGUCCGGAUUGGAGUCUGCAACUCGACUCCAUGAAGUCGGAAUCGCUAGUAAUCGUAGAUCAGAAUGCUACGGUGAAUACGUUCCCGGGCCUUGUACACACCGCCCGUCACACCAUGGGAGUGGGUUGCAAAAGAAGUAGGUAGCUUAACCUUCGGGAGGGCGCUUACCACUUUGUGAUUCAUGACUGGGGUGAAGUCGUAACAAGGUAACCGUAGGGGAACCUGCGGUUGGAUCACCUCCUUA
This 1540-nucleotide ribosomal RNA is filed under the name Klebsiella pneumoniae subsp. pneumoniae 1158. RNAcentral describes it as "bacterial SSU rRNA". It matches the Rfam family "Bacterial small subunit ribosomal RNA". The record is from RNAcentral. Lineage: Bacteria; Pseudomonadati; Pseudomonadota; Gammaproteobacteria; Enterobacterales; Enterobacteriaceae.